GGAGUGUAGCUCAGUGGCACAGUGCUUGCCUACCAAGCGAGAGGCUCUAGGUUCAAUCUCAGCGCCA
This 67-nucleotide transfer RNA is filed under the name Marmota monax (woodchuck). Its description in RNAcentral is "tRNA.Gly". The record is from RNAcentral. Lineage: Eukaryota; Metazoa; Chordata; Mammalia; Rodentia; Sciuridae.